UACGGAGGGUGCAAGCGUUAUCCGGAUUCACUGGGUUUAAAGGGUGCGUAGGAGGGCAGGUAAGUCAGUGGUGAAAUCUUCGAGCUUAACUCGGAAACUGCCGUUGAUACUAUCUGUCUUGAAUACCGUGGAGGUGAGCGGAAUAUGUCAUGUAGCGGUGAAACGCUUAGAUAUGACAUAGAACACCAAUUGCGAAGGCAGCUCGCUACACGAAUAUUGACUCUGAGGCACGAAAGCGUGGGGAUCAAACAGG
Molecule: ribosomal RNA, 253 nt
Filed under: uncultured bacterium
Lineage: Bacteria
Description: partial 16S ribosomal RNA
Rfam family: Bacterial small subunit ribosomal RNA
Source: RNAcentral